This 240-nucleotide ribosomal RNA is filed under the name uncultured bacterium. RNAcentral's name for it is "partial 16S ribosomal RNA". It matches the Rfam family "Bacterial small subunit ribosomal RNA", at positions 118 to 347 of the family's 1533-position model. The record is from RNAcentral.
UGGGAACAUACCCUUCGGUUACGGAAUAACUCAGGGAAACUUGGGCUAAUACCGGAUAGCCUCUCGAGCUUUCGAGCUCGUGAGAAAAGGUAGCUUCGGCCUCCGAUCGAGGAUGAGCCCGCGGGCGGAUUAGCUUGUUGGUGGGGUAAUGGCCUACCAAGGCGACGAUCCGUAGCUGGUCUGAGAGGACGAUCAGCCACACGUGGGACUGAGACACGGCCCAGACCUCCCGUACGGGGA